Molecule: long non-coding RNA, 2753 nt
Organism: Aethalodelphis obliquidens (Pacific white-sided dolphin)
Lineage: Eukaryota; Metazoa; Chordata; Mammalia; Artiodactyla; Delphinidae
Exons: 2
Source: RefSeq, a predicted model, not a curated record
UCCAUCACUGGAACAGAAUAGAGAGCCCAGAAAGAAACCCAUGCACUUAUGGUCAAUGAAUCUAUGACAAAGGAGGCAAGAAUAUGCAAUGGAGAAAAGUCUGGGCUUCCUUAGGGAUGGUUUCAUCAAUUAAUUUGUUUUCUUAAAUGGACCAUACUUUUCCAUGUGUUUGUAUACCUUGUGAGUUUUUUGGUUGAACAUUGGGCUUUCAAAUAUUAUAAUGUGGUGUCUAUGGAAAUCAGAUUCUCCCACUUUCCCAGGGUUUUCUGGGCUUUUGAUUGUUGAAGGCUGUAGUAGUCUGUUUGUUUAGGGACCUUUCCAAACUAGUUUUGCAAUGACUGUACUCCUUAUUGUAUGUAGGCACUGAAGUCUCUGUUCCUUUAGUUCAUGUUUAGCUAAUGUUUUGACAGAGAUGUCCUUGAAUUCCUGCACCUAAGACAAACAAAAACAAAUAUACACAAGCACAUCCACAUGCACACUCAAAACCACACACCUCUCCCCAUUGUGCAGAUUGCUGGAUCACUCCUUCAACAUUUAGCUGAUCUGCACUGAGUUCAGGGCUCAGCCCAUGGUAAAAGCUUAGAGACUCCUCUGGUGUUUUCAGAACAUGCAUCUUAUCUUGAGUAUGCAUGUGGUUUUCUUAAUUUCUCUGGACACAUAUGUACUUUUUGUAUGUUCUAAGUUCCCAAAGAAUCUCCCCCAACUUUUGCUCCUGCAUCUUAUGUGGUCUAUUGUAUUUCAAUGCACAGUCUUCUGCCCCAGCCAUCUGUGCUUUGUUAGUUCACCUUGCACUUUUUUUGAGCAAUGACCACUGCUUUUCCAGAUUGUGUUCCAGGUUAGCUAAGACAGAGAUAAGCAUCUUGUGUCAGUCCUUCAGGUAGCUCCCAGACAGGUUAGAACAGAUACACAUAAUAAUCCGAGAGUAUGGUUUCUUUUCCUCCCUCCUGAAGCAGGAUUGAGGGUCCCAUACUAGGAAUGGUCUGCUGCUAUUUUAAGACUAUCACUGCAUUAAGACCCCACCACUUUAAGACCAUCACUACACUAACAGUAGAUGGGGCAAGGGCAAGUAAAAAUGCCACAAAGCUUUCCUGCCAUUUUCAAAUUGCCUCUUCCCUGGUUCAGUAUGUGUUUGGUUGCUGUAAAUCUUUGCCUGAUUUCAGGACUAAGAGAAACUCAAGGAACCCCACAACAAGAAACAGUAUGAUCAAACUCUCAGAUGCCAAAAGACAGAGAAAGAAUCUUUUCUCCCAAAGGAGAAAGAAAAAACAAAUUUGUUACAAAGCAGGGAUCCUCAAAAAGAUUCAUAGCUAAUUUCCUAUCUGAAACCACGGAGGCAAGAGGCCAGACAUAUUUAAAGUGCUGAAAGAAAAAAACUGUCCACCAAGAAUUCUAUAUUUGGCCAAACUGGUUUCAAAACUUAGGGAGAAAUUAACACAUUCCCAGAUGAACAAAGGCUGAGGGCGUUUGUUUUACAACUUCCUAACACUGCCCUAUGACAAAUGCUAAAUUGAACCUUCAGGUUGAAAUGAAAGGACACUAGCCAGCAACUCGAAGCUGUAUAAAGAAAUAGAAAUCUCCAGUAAAGAUAAAUACAUGGGCAGAUACUAAAGCCAGUAUUGUGCUACUGGCUUGUAACUCUACCUUGUAUUUCUUACAUGAUUGAAAAAACAAAUGCAUAAAAUAAUCAUAAAUCCAUGUUAUUGGGCUCACAAAGUAUAAAGGUGUAAUUUGUGACAACAAUAACGUAAGGAGGAGGAAUGGAACUGUAGAGGAACAGAGUUUCUGUGUGCUAUUGAAGUUGGUUGCAAUUCAAAUGAUAUUGGUUGAACUUUAGAAGGGUAAAUUAUAUGCUGUCUGCAAAAAACUCAUUUGAUUUCAAGAGACACAAGUUGGUUGAAAGUUAAAGCACAGAAUAAAAUAUCCCAUGCAAAUAGUAACAAAAAGAAAGAAAGAGAGAGAGAGAAAAAGAAAGGAAGGAAGGAAGGAAGGAAUGAAGGAAGAUAGAUCUGGGAUGGCUACAUUAAUAUCACACAAAAUAAACUUUAAAUCAAUACCUAUCACAAGAGGAAAAGGAGGCCACUAUAUGUUGAUAACAAGUUCAAUCUAUCAAGAAGAUAUAACAACUAUAAACAUAUAUGUACCAAACAUCCCCCAAAUAUGUGAAGCAGACAUUGACAGAAUUGAAGGAAGAAAUAGAUAGUUCUAAAAUAAUAGUUGGAGAUCAAUACCUUGCUUUCAAUAAUGGAUAACACAUCUAGACAGAAGAUCAGUAGAGAGGUAGGGGGACUGAAUAACACAUUUAACCAACUAAACCUAACAGCCAUAUAUAGAUCACUCCACUCAACAACAGCAGAAUACACAUUUUUCUCAAGUACACAUGGAACAUUCUCCAGGGAAGACCAUAUGUUAGACCACAAUACAAGUACCAAUACAUUUUUAAGAAACUGAAAUCAUACAAAGUAUCUUCUUUAGCCACAGUGAAAUGAAGGUAGAAAUCAAUAACAGAACCAUUGGUAGCCAUUUCCCAUUAUGCCUGCCACACAUGAUAUAAAGCAAUGAAGGGAAAAACAUAAUUGACCAUUUAGAAAAGUGGGAAAGAGGACAUACCAUUGACACAGAGUGUGUGCUGUUUCCCGUUGUCAGGGAUAGAAAUAAAUUAGCAUCAUUUAUUCAUUAGUGUGUUAAUUUCUUGGUCAAUCAUUGGGCAGCCAGUGUUUCUGCCUGAUGGGAAGAUUUCCUAUACUCAGUGUUGA